UACGAAGGUGGCGAAUGUUGCUCGGAUUCACUGGGCGUAAAGCGUCGGUAGGAGGUUGCUCAAGUCAGGUGUGAAAGCCCCGUGCUCAACAUGGGAAUUGCACUUGAAACUAGGUAACUUGAAGAUAAGAGAGGAUGGCGGAAUAUCCGGUGUAGAGGUAAAAUUCAUAGAUAUCGGAUGGAACACCCAUGGCGAAGGCAGCUAUCUGGCUUAUUCUUGACUCUGAGCGACGACAGCGUGGGGAGCAAACAGG
This 253-nucleotide ribosomal RNA is filed under the name uncultured bacterium. RNAcentral's name for it is "partial 16S ribosomal RNA". It matches the Rfam family "Bacterial small subunit ribosomal RNA", at positions 524 to 776 of the family's 1533-position model. The record is from RNAcentral.